GCGCCGGUGGUUUAGUGGUAAAAUCUUCGCCUCCCACGCGAAGGCCCCGGGUUCGAUUCCCGGUCGGGCGCA
Molecule: non-coding RNA, 72 nt
Organism: Cymbomonas tetramitiformis
Lineage: Eukaryota; Viridiplantae; Chlorophyta; Pyramimonadophyceae; Pyramimonadales; Pyramimonadaceae
Source: the annotation of a GenBank genome assembly